Catharus ustulatus (Swainson's thrush) is the source of this 5301-nucleotide long non-coding RNA. RefSeq lists it as uncharacterized. Lineage: Eukaryota; Metazoa; Chordata; Aves; Passeriformes; Turdidae. The record is from RefSeq and is a predicted model, not a curated record. The transcript has 11 exons.
AGUCUACUACUGUUUUCCCAAUAGAUAAAAAUAAGAGAAGGGUAAUGACAAUUUUUAUCACUUUGCAUCCUAAAUGGAAUUUUAUGGGACAAAGAGAAGAGACUUCUGUGGCCCAAAGGGAUUUCCUCUGCUGAAUACCAAACACCUUCUACAAACAACAGAAAUGUGAGAGAUUCUCAAAAUAAAAGGUCACAGGGAUUUUCUAUAAUAGAAAGACUUUAACAACAGGAUGUUGUUACCAGCUGCCCUUCCAGUGAAUCAGGGAAUAUCUUGGUGAAGUACUUCCUCAAUAUGUUUUUCUGCAAUUCAAGGAGCUACUAAUUUGAGGGAUAGUCACUGGAGUUGUCAGAGUUUGAGUCAGGGACCAUGAUGUACAUUCAGUAGCAGCCCUGAACACAGGGAAGAGAAAUAAAAAAGGAUUCACAGCAGAAAGGGAGAUGACCAUUGUACUUGGACAGCCUGGUGGCAGCAUGUCCAGGUUUGCUCUGCCAAGGUAACAUCCAUGUGUCGGACAGAGGGACAGCACUUGUUUGAUUUCUGGGAAGAGCCCAACUUCCUUAAGAGAAGGGCAGGGGAGGAAUAUGGCUGGCUAAUGAUUUCAAACUGCCUGAAGCAGUGAGUGACCUGGCAGCUGUAGAGAAAAGCAUCUUUCUCUGCCCACCCACCACUUGAAGUCACAGUAUAAACAGUUAUUUUUUACCAAAUUUGGCUUAGAACACAAUCAGGGAUGAGUAAGACAGGUCCACCGGCACUGUGGUCAUCCUUGCACCUCAUUAGUUUUCCACAGAAAUAGGAGCUACUCUUUCUGUGGUUGGGAGAAACACAACAGGUCAAUCAGGUUACCACCCACUCCAGAAGUUUGUGUGCCUUUGCGGGGAUUACUAGCACACAUGGAUAUAGAAUAAUAUCAAGUCAUUUCAGCAUGUGGAGAAUAUACUAAAUUCACCACAUUCCCGUCCCUACCUCCUCCACUAGCCCUGGUUUCUAGCUAUCAUCCACAUCUGGCCCUCACCAUUGUGUUCCCCCACCCACUCCUCUCCCUUGGACUCACAAGCUCCAUUUCUUCACUGUGGUCGUAAUUGCUUCAUUUCUUUGCUGUUCUGAGUACAGGAAGGCAUAGGAAGAGGGACAGCACUUGAAACCCAUCCAUUUUCAGAACAAAGAAUCUGACUUUGAGAUAUGAACAAACAGGAGUGAAGGGCCCCUCUCCCCCCACAGAGGGUCAGAGAAGGGGGGAUGCGACACAUUUGUCUGUGCUUAGGACAAAUCAUGAACAUAGUGAGAGGUCUGUUGGUGAGUUCAAUCAUGUUAAAAGACCAUGAUAACUAAUAGGGACUUUGAAUAUUCAGUGGUAUGAAAGUAACCUUGCCUUUUUAUGUGUCCUUCCAUAGAUAAAAAGAAGCAAUAUUGUUGGGAUGCCUAGGAUUUCAAAAUAUUACUUCAUAAUAAGCAUAAAACACUUCUUAAAGCACAUAUUAUGGGUCCAGAAGAACACAUCUUUCAGUCUUUGAGAAGUAUUUAAACUACCCUGGCAGAUGAAGAUUUGGAUUUGGCUUGCUUGAUGCUGGACGAUUAAUGAAGGAAGCCCUAACUGGACAAAUGUUGGUCUCCUGAGACAAUGUGUUGUUGAUAACAGGUACAGAGCAGUUACCUACAAUAAGCUCAUCCCACGAGUCACGGCAUCUUUUUGUUCAUCUGUUUCAACCAGAUUAAUGUAAAGAUGGACUGGGUGCAAACAGCUGUUUUUGUGCACCUAUGGAUCAAUGACUUGGGCAUGCUUUCCAAGCAUUUUUGUAGAAAAGAUAGGAAUGAAGUAGAAAUGUGUAGUCCUCUGAUGUGGUUACUUCCCAAAGAUGUUUCUGUGUUCAAUCCUGCAGUAAUUCUCCAGUAAAGCAAUGAGGAGAGUUAAACCCCUGAGGGACAGGAACACUCUCCCUUUUCUCUGGAUCAAUGUCAUAUGCAAAAAGCACAGCAACAAAGUCUGUUUCUCAAUAUUGUACCUACUUGAGGCUCCUGAAGGUGUGAUUAAUUGGGAGUGAUUAAUUAAAGCAUGAGUCAUGACCUCCUUUUUUUCCUGUCACAUUACUUAUGAACAAGGGGGCAGUCAAUGUAGUUAAAUGGUAUGAGAUAGCAAAUUUAGAGGAAAUAAAAAGAAAUUAGUUGUGUUGCAUGUGGUCAAUCUGUGGGAUUUCCUGCUACGGGUGACCAUCUGAUAAAUAGGAUUCCUUGACUGAAAAUAAUAUUGUUAAUGCUAGUGCCAUAACAGAUGGGACCAUCGCUGUAUAUCUGGGACUUCUGGCUACACUGGGAAGGCAGAAGAGAGUCCUGCUUGGCUAAUAAAGUAAGAGCAAAUGCACCAUGUGCUGGGAAGUCAGGCAGGAGUGCUGUUCUCCAUGGACAGCAGCACUGCACUAUUAGCUUGAUCUAUGACUUGCCAUUUCAUGGUUUGGUUGGUUGUUUAUUUGUCUGUCUUUUUAAUUCCUCUGGAAAAUACUGUACUGGCUCUCUCUGUUGACUGAAUGACCAGGCUUGGGCAGAAGACAUAGCAUUCUUCUUCUCUGACCUUUAUAUCAAAAUUGAUUAGCAAUAAUUCUUUUGCAGAAAAGGAUUGACAAUAAGAUGUGGAUGUUCAUCUUUAAUGAACUCUAGUCACCAAGUGGAAACUAGCUAACUUUGAUGAUGCAAUUGACCACCUUCUCAGCAAUAGCUGAAUACUUGCUCCUCAAACUGAGCAAGCCUCUUAACUGGGAAUGUGAAGAGAUGAAGCAAGCAAAAAAGAAAAAGUGUGAAGAGCAUUGGUGCCAUAUCGUCACUGUAUCAGAUAGUUUUAGGAUCGAUGAGUGAAUAGUGGAAGAGUACUACAGAGAGAUCUUGUUAAUAAUAUCUUUGAUCUAAUCAAGUGUUGCCACAGUACCAGUAUGGUUGUUUUCUUGUUGGAGCUACUCAUGUGAGAGAGCCACUCUGCUGUCUUUACAAAUCUGCACGUAAAUAAAAAGAAUGGACCUUCCCCGUGAAACGUGAGCACAGAAACGCUCACAAGUGGCCAAGAGCUGCUAAAUAAUUAAUCAAUAGAGCAGUGUGGCAGUUUGAAAUGUAAAUGUGAUGGAUGAAGGUGUGAUGCUUGUCAUCAAGCAGAAAAUGAUGUGACUGGAAUGGAUAACCCACAGUACCUGCUAACUGGCAAAAGCUUGGACACAAAGAUAAAGUAAAGCCAUCAGAAAGCAGACCUGGCAACCCCUAAUUCUUGCCUUUGACCCACAAUUCACUUUCAUGUCUCUGUCCCAGAAGAGAUGUUUAAAAAAAUGAUGAAGAGAGAUCUUGGGGUGGGAAAGGGGUGAGAAAAAAACCAUCUGAAGAAAUGCUACCUGACAAGGCUGCAGGCUACAUUCUUGAGAACACCUUUCUUUUCUUUAUGUUCUCCUUCUCCUGUUAAAUAAAAAUGCGGCUCCUUUUUUCCCUUUCCUUUCUUCCAAAACUCUCCCGAGCCGUUCCUGCAAGUGGUUCUGUGACUCGGGAGCUGACAACAGCCGCAUGCAAAGGAACAAAGAAUGAGAGUGACAAUUCAGAGUGCACGCAGAUAGUCUUCCUUUGGUCACAAGAUGACAGUGAGAAUGGAUUGUCAAACUGGACCACUAUGACAAUUUACUCUGGGGGAGAAAAUCCUGUGGGUGUUUAGAAGCUUUACUAUAACAGCUUUUCGGUUUGCAACUGCACCAAAGCAGGAUGAUGAUGGUGAAGGAGACUGACACAGCAUGAGAGCCUGCAACAGACAGUGGUUUGUGGGUCUCUGGCAGGAAGCACUGAAAUGUGGAUGGUAAUGCUGACCCCAACACAAGGUCCCAUGUCCGUGAGGCUUGAGACUGAGGUGGUGCCCACCAGACUGGAACAAAGGACAUGAUCAAAGAACCUCUGAAAAACUUUUCUUCAUGAAGGCAAGGCAAGAUUGAAAGACAAGGAAGUGCAGCCCUGGGAAGAAAUGUUCUCCCACAAUGUGGCAUCGUGGCUGUCAUCAAAACAUCUUCCAUUCUGGCUGUCGACACUGAAGUGAAGAUAAGCUUUCAAACAGGGCUUGCCACAAAACGAUUUCAAGUCUUCUCCUUCAGACCCAGGGGUUGGAGAAACUCUCCCUCUGAGGCUCCCUGGCAUCUACCUGGGGGGACAUGUACCUCUCUAAACGGGCCUUGAACCCGAAAUGCUUUGUUAUGCUCAAAACAAUAAAUAAGGUUCCGAGUGAAGCCUUCAGAAUAAAAGAUUGGUUAGUGUAAUAUCCCUAGUGUAGCUAUCAGCGUGGUCAUAAGAACUAUGAACUACAGCAUGGGUAAGCUUGAAAAACCCAGAGCAGAUCGCAUUAGCCAAGAACGCUACAUAUCUGGAAGCCAGUCAACUUCACGUUUGCAGCUGACUGCUGUAUUAUGCACGAAUGUGUUUUACAUAUAGCAGACUGUAUACGGAAUAUGUCUUUAUGUUUAACAUUUUAAUUUGUAAAUGCUAAUUAGGCAGUUGGUCUCCACGGUUAUAUUAGUACAUACCUAAUCAUUUCCCACUAUAAGUAAAUGAAUACUAAAUACGGUAAACACUUUCUUUUCACUAUUUCCACGACUGGAUCUCUUCUAUAUCCAUUUUCCAAAGGUGUCCAUUCGGACAAAAUAGGCAUUUAUUUUAAAAAGGGGGAGAAAAAAAUGCACUCUGCAGCACUCUUAUAAUUGAGGUGCUACGGCAGGCAUGGAGCUGGCAAUCCUGACCGGACCGGACUCUUCCAAAGGAAGCCAGAAAAGUUUAGUUUUGCCAAAUUAACUUGUUGCUCGUUUUAACGUUAGUUUUUCUCUUCGCUCGCAGUACCUAGUCGCCUGCUGCUGUUGACUGGUGCAGGCACACACCAGAGGAGCUGCCUUUCUAAAUCCUGUUUUGUUUAAAAUAUAACUCAGGUUAUGCUCGGAGAAUUGGGGGAGGGGGGGCAGAGGAGAGCUGGGAGAAAUCCGCUCAAUCCCGACCCCGGGAUGAUGAACUUUGCUGGGGUCUUUCAACUCCAAAACCCGCCCGUUUCACAGGCGAGGGAAAUGUUCACUAAACUGCAAAUCUCAAGCAAGAGACCACGUUUCUGAGGAGAAUUGCGCUCUGGAAAUGUGUUUUACUAGUCUGGAAUAUUGCUAGUGCUCAUUGCGCCAAACGCGGUAGGUGGAAAGUUUUGUUCAUGUAAAUAUCUCAACCAUUUUACCUCACGGUCAAUACACGCAGAGACUUGACUCCGUUUUACAAAUGAAGACCCACGAACACUUUAAAUGAAAAGUGUAAUUUCUUAUA